GCCUCAAAGAGCCGCUCCUCCUUUACUCUCUUAUUCAUAAGUGUCUGCUUCUAUUGGCCAUUAGGCAGGGUUGCGCUCACCAUAGCAACCAGAGAAUGGGGGAAGACGAGGUUCCGUGGGGCCGACAGUAACUCACAGAGACCCUAGAAGGGAUUGGUUUUAUGACAGAACUAUGGUGGUCUUGUUUCCUCUAACACGUAGUGCCGGCGAGGCUUCGCUCAACUGCUACAUCUUCCCUUUGACAUAAUCGUUUUUCAAACUGCCGAGUUUAGUAAGAGCAAAGGAUUGGUGCACCUCGCCCUCCCCCCGCCUGCUCGCUUGCUCUCUCCCCCCCCCCCGCCACCCUGUCACCCGUAUGCCCGACCUCCCGCUCCUCCGCGCCCCUGGUAGGUGCAACACUGAUGUCCAAGAUGGCCAAAAACCAGUCAGAAAAAAAGAUCUAUUUGAAGUACUUCAGGAUACCUCUGCAGUUACAGAAAAAAGGAGCCCAGUUGGCAUCUGUUAUGGUUCUAAUGAACAAGUUACUGAAAUAAUUCUGGCCUGAAUUGAGUAACAGUGACCCAGCACUUCCUCAACCAUCGACCACAGAUAGCAAAGACACCCCCUUGCCAUUGUAGUGAAGCAUAUAUUUUGUGUGCGCACAUAUUCCUUGAAAACCAGCUGUUACUCAG
Long non-coding RNA from Rhineura floridana, 671 nucleotides. RefSeq lists it as uncharacterized. The record is from RefSeq and is a predicted model, not a curated record. The transcript has 4 exons. NCBI's taxonomy places the organism in Eukaryota, Metazoa, Chordata, Lepidosauria, Squamata, Rhineuridae.